ACACGAGGUCUGAGAGACAGAGGCAGCGUGUUUGAGCUGCUGGUGCGGUGGUCAGCGCGAUGCCCAAGGCCAAGGGCAAAACCCGGAGGCAGAAGUUUGGUUACAGUGUCAACCGAAAGCGUCUGAACCGGAAUGCUCGACGGAAGGCAGCGCCGCGGAUCGAAUGGUGAGGGGGCUGGGGUUCCGGGUGGCCGUGGGCCUCGGCCGGGACGGUCCGCGAGAUGACGGAUCCGCGAUGUCUCUCUUUGCCGGUAGCUCCCACAUCCGACAUGCCUGGGACCACGCUAAAUCGGUACGGCAGAACCUGGCCGAGAUGGGGUUGGCUGUGGACCCCAACAGGGCGGUGCCCCUCCGUAAGAGAAAGGGCUCUGUUCUCUGCAGGUGAAGGCCAUGGAGGUGGACAUAGAGGAGAGGCCUAAAGAGCUUGUACGGAAGCCCUAUGUGCUGAAUGACCUGGAGGCAGAAGCCAGCCUUCCAGAAAAGAAAGGAAAUACUCUGUCUCGGGACCUCAUUGACUAUGUACGCUACAUGGUAGAGAACCACGGGGAGGACUAUAAGGCCAUGGCCCGUGAUGAGAAGAAUUACUAUCAAGAUACCCCAAAACAGAUUCGGAGUAAGAUCAACGUCUAUAAACGCUUUUACCCAGCAGAGUGGCAAGACUUCCUCGAUUCUUUGCAGAAGAGGAAGAUGGAGGUGGAGUGACUGGUUUACAUCACAGCUGCCCCAGGCUGAGGCGUCCCCCGGACCAGUGAAGCUGGAGCCAGGGUGUAAGGCAAGGAGGUGCUGUGUGGCUCCAGAGGAGCUGGCCAGGUCCCAUGGAAUCAGAAGGUUACACACACACGUGCACACUCCCCGCUCUGGGGAAGGAACUGUUCUCAGAGGCUCCAAUUUAUAUUCAUCUGGGGGUUCACGGAAAAGCCAGAACCUGCUGUUUUCAGGGUGGGUGAUGUAAAUAUAGUGUGUACAUAAUAAAGCAAAUAUAUUUUA
Homo sapiens (human) is the source of this 987-nucleotide RNA transcript. It is a transcript of the gene named NOP16 nucleolar protein, with no coding region annotated. The transcript has 4 exons. Lineage: Eukaryota; Metazoa; Chordata; Mammalia; Primates; Hominidae. The record is from RefSeq and is marked reviewed.